This 465-nucleotide ribosomal RNA is filed under the name uncultured bacterium. Its description in RNAcentral is "partial 16S ribosomal RNA". It matches the Rfam family "Bacterial small subunit ribosomal RNA", at positions 338 to 795 of the family's 1533-position model. The record is from RNAcentral.
CCUACGGGGGGCAGCAGUGGGGAAUAUUGCGCAAUGGGCGAAAGCCUGACGCAGCGACGCCGCGUGAGGGAUGAAGGUCUUCGGAUCGUAAACCUCUGUCAGCAGGGAAGAACGGUCACUGUGCUAAUCAGCAGUGAAUUGACGGUACCUGCAAAGGAAGCACCGGCUAACUCCGUGCCAGCAGCCGCGGGAAUACGGAGGGUGCGAGCGUUAAUCGGAAUUACUGGGCGUAAAGCGCUCGUAGGCGGUAUGUCAAGUCAAGGGGGAAAUCCCCGCGCUCAACGUGGGAACUGCCUUUGAAACUGGGAAACUGGAGUGUGUGAGAGGAUAGUGGAAUUCCAGGUGUAGGAGUGAAAUCCGGAGAUAUCUGGAGGAACAUCAGUGGCGAAGGCGACUAUCUGGCACAUAACUGACGCUGAGGAGCGAAAGCGUGGGUAGCAAACAGGAUUAGAUACCCGGGUAGUC